This 467-nucleotide ribosomal RNA is filed under the name uncultured bacterium. Its description in RNAcentral is "partial 16S ribosomal RNA". It matches the Rfam family "Bacterial small subunit ribosomal RNA", at positions 28 to 507 of the family's 1533-position model. The record is from RNAcentral.
GACGAACGCUGGCGGCGUGCUUAACACAUGCAAGUCGAACGGAAAGGCCCUGCUUUUGUGGGGUGCUCGAGUGGCGAACGGGUGAGUAACACGUGAGUAACCUGCCCUUGACUUUGGGAUAACUUCAGGAAACUGGGGCUAAUACCGGAUAGGAGCUCCUGCUGCAUGGGGGGGGUUGGAAAGUUGCGGCGGUGGGGGAUGGACUCGCGGCUUAUCAGCUUGUUGGUGGGGUAGUGGCUUACCAAGGCUUUGACGGGUAGCCGGCCUGGGAGGGUGACCGGGCACAUGGGGCCAGGGGAAGGGCCCGGAGGGCUACGGCAGGAAGGGGUGGGAAAUAUGGCAAACAGGGCGGAGGCCGGAUUCAAAAACGCCGGGUGGGGAAUGACGGCUUUUGGGUUGGAACACAUUUGCGCGUUGCAGUACACGUCAUGACGGUAAAUGGUCAAAAAGGCACGGCUAACUACGGG